GGGUGCUUAGCUCAGUUGGUAGAGCGGCGCCUUUACACGGCGUAGGUCACAGGUUCGAGUCCUGUAGCACCCACCA
This 76-nucleotide transfer RNA is filed under the name Candidimonas sp. Its description in RNAcentral is "tRNA-Val". It matches the Rfam family "tRNA". From Rfam's summary of the family: Transfer RNA (tRNA) molecules are approximately 80 nucleotides in length. Their secondary structure includes four short double-helical elements and three loops (D, anti-codon, and T loops). Lineage: Bacteria; Pseudomonadati; Pseudomonadota; Betaproteobacteria; Burkholderiales; Alcaligenaceae. RNAcentral also lists the same sequence under 2 other names. The record is from RNAcentral.